Molecule: long non-coding RNA, 441 nt
Filed under: Equus caballus (horse)
Lineage: Eukaryota; Metazoa; Chordata; Mammalia; Perissodactyla; Equidae
Description: lncRNA (ENSECAG00000045472.1)
Source: RNAcentral
UGGACCUUUUUUAGUCUGCCAUAGAUGAUACCUCCGACACUUCAGCUGGAGGAAAGGUGUUUAUGGAAUAGAUGCAGAGAGCUCUGUCCAGUUGCUCCAAGCUUUACUGGUUGCACUCUAGGUCUGCUGCACAUCUACACGGAUAUCACCUGGAGAGAUCACUUAUUCUGGAGAACCCCAGAUGCUCAGUCAUGAAGACACUUAUCCAGAGUCCUGUGUGGUGAGGAACUGAGGCGUUCAUCCAGUGAGGAAUUGAGGAUUCCUACUAACAGCCAUGUGAGUGAACUUGAAAGUGAGUGAAUCCUCCAACUUCUCAAUCAGUCCUUCAGAUGACUGCAGUCCUGGCUGACAUCUUGCCUGUAACCUCAUGAAAGACCUUGAGCUACACUCGCCCAGCUAAGCUUCUCCAAAAUUCCUGAGUCAAAGAAACUGUAAGAUAAU